GACGAACGCUGGCGGCGUGCCUAACACAUGCAAGUCGAACGGAACUGUUUUGAAAGAUUUCUUCGGAAUGAAUUUGAUUUAGUUUAGUGGCGGACGGGUGAGUAACGCGUGAGUAACCUGCCUUCAAGAGGGGAAUAACAUUCUGAAAAGAAUGCUAAUACCGCAUGACAUAUCGGAACCACAUGGUUUUGAUAUCAAAGAUUUUAUCGCUUGAAGAUGGACUCGCGUCCGAUUAGUUAGUUGGUGAGGUAACGGCUCACCAAGACCGCGAUCGGUAGCCGGACUGAGGGGUUGAACGGCCACAUUGGGACUGAGACACGGCCCAGACUCCUACGGGAGGCAGCAGUGGGGGAUAUUGCGCAAUGGGGGCAACCCUGACGCAGCAACGCCGCGUGAAGGAUGAAGGUUUUCGGAUUGUAAACUUCUUUUAUUAAGGACGAAAAAUGACGGUACUUAAUGAAUAAGCUCCGGCUAACUACGUG
This 482-nucleotide ribosomal RNA is filed under the name uncultured bacterium. Its description in RNAcentral is "partial 16S ribosomal RNA". It matches the Rfam family "Bacterial small subunit ribosomal RNA", at positions 28 to 507 of the family's 1533-position model. The record is from RNAcentral.